UUGUGGCUCGUUUAUUCUAAAAAACUUGAAUUUCAUUAUUGUUUCCCCUACUUUUCAAUAAUUUGCUGUCAGAGGUCUCUUUCUCAUCUUCAUCAGAAGUUGAUAUGAAAAAAUUAGAAUCAAGAAGAAACAUUUCCAGCAGUGAAAAGAGUAUGGCUAUAGAGAUUCCAGUUGCCGCUUUGUAUGAAGGUUCUCCAAGUGACCAACAAUGUGAUCAGUGUUCUUGUAGUCCGCAUUGAAAUUUUUAAUAGUUGGCAUUUUCAGCUUGUUCCAAAGCUGUAUUAGGAGAAAGUUGUAUUGUUUGAGAGACAACAUUUAGUUGUGUUAAUGAUAUUUUAAAAAUUAAAUUA
Nicotiana attenuata is the source of this 350-nucleotide long non-coding RNA. RefSeq lists it as uncharacterized. Lineage: Eukaryota; Viridiplantae; Streptophyta; Magnoliopsida; Solanales; Solanaceae. The record is from RefSeq and is a predicted model, not a curated record. The transcript is spliced from 2 exons.